UUCUUGAUUUCAUCUUUAUGAUUUGUGUGACCUGAUGACAUCAUCACUUCACUCAAAUGAAUAUUCAUAUUGACUGGUCAAGAAGUGUUUUCCGAAUCAUAACUUCCAUCUUUUCAUGAUUUUUGUAACAUUUUGUAGGGAAUAUUUUUUUUUCCUUUUUAUGAAUCCAGUUAUUUGGGCCUGGAGUUCUUUAUUAAUUCUAAGUUAAAGAGGAAAAAAAAAGGGGGGGAGUGACAUAUGAUAUGUUACUUUACAGUUGACAUACACUGUAUAACUAGAUGUUCAUGUAGAGCAUUUCAUGAUCCUCUUUUGACAGAGUCAGAGACGUAACCGCCGCAUCUCACCCUACCAUAUAGCGGAGAGGUGGUGCGGCCUUGGAGAAGAUCAGGAGGGAUUUAAAAAAAAAAUUAUCAACGAUGACAUAGGACAUGGACUUGUGACAAAUAAACCCUUUUUAAAGGGAGAUUUCCUCCUGGAAUAUCGUGGAAUAUUGUCCAUUGCUGAUGAUCAGGAUGAUGAGAAUGCGGAUUAUGUUUUCCACUUCUCGCAUAAAAGUACCGAGUAUCGGAUUGAUGCAUCAGAUAGCAAUUCUUGCCUCGCUAGGUGGGUCAACGAUGAUCAUGUGCAUCCAAAUAGCAUCAUGAAAAAGGUUGCAUUUGAUAAUAACUCCCCACAUUUGUGCUUGUUUGCUUUGGUGGACCUUAAAGAAGGUGUGGAACUAACAUACGACUAUGGAGUAAAGAAUUUACCUUGGCGGCAGCCCAGUCUGGAAAAGGAAAAGAACAUACCAUCUUCGAGCUCUCAAAUGAGAGGGAUGGACCUCCUGGGUCUAUGGAGCCAAAAAGUAGCCAUCCUGUUGCAAAAAGGUCAAAAGCGGAACGCAUUACCUGGACAGCAGCACAACACCAUGCUGUAGACACAUUUUCAAAAGAAAUUACAGGACAUUCCGAAUUCCAGGGAAAGAAGAAUGUGAGGAAUGUAGAAAUAAGUAUCCUGAACUUGCAACACUACCCUGGACUAAGAUUAAAUACAGGGUUUAUAACAUUAUUAAACAAAACAAACUAAAAUCCUAUUGAAUCCAUCUUACCUCAAUGAAGAAAAGUGUACACACACACAUGUAUGUAUAUAAAUAUGAUUUAUUGCACUCCAUGCAAAUCAUGAGGUUUGAUUCAAUCACAAGCAAAAACAAAUAAAUGAAUAAAAUGAUAAUAAUUCAAUUGUAUACUAUGCAAACAUUCAAAUAAUUUAUAUAAAUGUCAGAUAAUACAAAGCAAAAAGGUUUGUAAUUAAUAUGGAUCACCUUGAUAAAAGUUAUAGCUGCAAGAAUGGUAAUUUGUAUAACUGCUGUUGAAUUGUCAAACCAUGAACAAACUUUCUACACACAAUCGGAAAUUGCACUUGAGAAGAAAAAAAACGAUACAAUAAAUUCAUUGCUGAAAUAAAACAAACAUAAACAUUCCUUUAUAAGAAAUAUGGAUGUGAUUGACAUUCAAUCUGCAUCGUACAGCAUGGACUGCAAUGUAUUAUAACAAAGAGAAUAUGCGUGUGUGUCAGCAUUUCUUUUAUAAGCAAAGUGUAUAAAGGUGGAAAGUGUGCACAUGUGCAGAAUACUCCAUCCACAUUUUAUAGCUGUACUGUGCAUUACUUGAAAUUAAUAUUUUUUCCUGACCUAUUUGAUUUCUAUCCCAAGUUAUGUGUAAGAGAUCAAAAUAAAUAUUCCAUAUUUCCACGAUAUUCCAGGAGGAAAUCUCCCUUUGAAAAGGGUUUAUUUGUCACAGGUCCAUGUCCUAAAACUGGAGAAGGAAAAUAUUUUGUUAAAGUUAAAAAAAAAAGUAAAAAAAAAAAAAAAACCUUAU
This is a long non-coding RNA of Strongylocentrotus purpuratus (purple sea urchin), 1856 nucleotides long. RefSeq lists it as uncharacterized. The transcript has 6 exons. NCBI's taxonomy places the organism in Eukaryota, Metazoa, Echinodermata, Echinoidea, Camarodonta, Strongylocentrotidae. The record is from RefSeq and is a predicted model, not a curated record.